This 253-nucleotide ribosomal RNA is filed under the name uncultured bacterium. RNAcentral's name for it is "partial 16S ribosomal RNA". It matches the Rfam family "Bacterial small subunit ribosomal RNA", at positions 524 to 776 of the family's 1533-position model. The record is from RNAcentral.
UACAGAGGUCUCAAGCGUUGUUCGGAUUCAUUGGGCGUAAAGGGUGCGUAGGCGGCGCGGUAAGUCGGGUGUGAAAUCUUGGAGCUUAACUCCGAAACUGCAUUCGAUACUGCCGUGCUUGAGGACUGGAGAGGAGACUGGAAUUUACGGUGUAGCGGUGAAAUGCGUAGAUAUCGUAAGGAAGACCAGUGGCGAAGGCGGGUCUCUGGACAGUUCCUGACGCUGAGGCACGAAGGCCAGGGGAACAAACGGG